Molecule: ribosomal RNA, 509 nt
Filed under: Phoma herbarum
Lineage: Eukaryota; Fungi; Ascomycota; Dothideomycetes; Pleosporales; Didymellaceae
Description: eukaryotic LSU rRNA
Rfam family: 5.8S ribosomal RNA (bases 171-324)
Source: RNAcentral
UUCCGUAGGUGAACCUGCGGAAGGAUCAUUACCUAGAGUUUGUGGGCUUUGCCUGCUAUCUCUUACCCAUGUCUUUUGAGUACUUACGUUUCCUCGGUGGGUUCGCCCGCCGAUUGGACAAUUUAAACCCUUUGCAGUUGCAAUCAGCGUCUGAAAAACAUAAUAGUUACAACUUUCAACAACGGAUCUCUUGGUUCUGGCAUCGAUGAAGAACGCAGCGAAAUGCGAUAAGUAGUGUGAAUUGCAGAAUUCAGUGAAUCAUCGAAUCUUUGAACGCACAUUGCGCCCCUUGGUAUUCCAUGGGGCAUGCCUGUUCGAGCGUCAUUUGUACCUUCAAGCAUUGCUUGGUGUUGGGUGUUUGUCUCGCCUUUGCGUGUAGACUCGCCUUAAAACAAUUGGCAGCCGGCGUAUUGAUUUCGGAGCGCAGUACAUCUCGCGCUUUGCACUCAUAACGACGACGUCCAAAAGUACAUUUUAACACUCUUGACCUCGGAUCAGGUAGGGAUACC